This 240-nucleotide ribosomal RNA is filed under the name uncultured Uronema sp. Its description in RNAcentral is "partial Bacterial large subunit ribosomal RNA". It matches the Rfam family "Bacterial large subunit ribosomal RNA", at positions 215 to 502 of the family's 2925-position model. Lineage: Eukaryota; Ciliophora; Oligohymenophorea; Philasterida; Uronematidae. The record is from RNAcentral.
GGAAAAGAAAUCAACCGAGAUUCCGAUAGUAGCGGCGAGCGAAAUCGGAACAGCCCUUAAGCUUAUUAUGUGUUAAUGGAAGGCUCUGGAAAGUGCCACGAUACAGGGUGAUAGUCCCGUACAUGAAAACGCAUUUUAAGUGAAAUCGAGUAGGUCGGAGCACGUGAAACUUUGACUGAAUAUAGGUGGACCAUCAUCUAAGGCUAAAUACUCCCAACUGACCGAUAGUGAACCAGUACC